CCAUUCCAAAUUUCUGCCCUAUCAACUUUUGACGGUAGGAUCGAGGCCUACCGUGGUGUUGACGGGUAACGGGGAAUUAGGGUUCGAUUCCGGAGAGGGAGCCUGAGAGAUGGCUACCACAUCCAAGGAUGGCAGCAGGCGCGCAAAUUACCCAAUCCUGACACAGGGAGGUAGCGACAAGAAAUACCGAUAGAUAGCACGCUGUGUUAUUUUAUUGGCAUGACUUUUAUUUAAAAGUUGAAAGGAGUAACGAUUGGAGGGCAAGUCUGGUGCCAGCAGCCGCGGUAAUUCCAGCUCCAAUAGCGUACACGAACGUUGUUGCAGUUAAAAAGCUUCCGUAGUA
RNAcentral lists this ribosomal RNA (343 nucleotides) under Galdieria maxima. Its description in RNAcentral is "SSU rRNA". It matches the Rfam family "Eukaryotic small subunit ribosomal RNA", at positions 294 to 635 of the family's 1831-position model. The record is from RNAcentral. Lineage: Eukaryota; Rhodophyta; Bangiophyceae; Galdieriales; Galdieriaceae.